AUUGAAAUACCAAUUCCCAUAUGAUCACCAGUUAAGCAACGUUGAUCCUGGUCAGUACCUAGAUGGGUGACCACCUGGGAAUACCAGGUGAU
Non-coding RNA from Acanthosepion pharaonis, 92 nucleotides. The record is from the annotation of a GenBank genome assembly. NCBI's taxonomy places the organism in Eukaryota, Metazoa, Mollusca, Cephalopoda, Sepiida, Sepiidae.